Molecule: ribosomal RNA, 91 nt
Filed under: Albinaria hippolyti holtzi
Lineage: Eukaryota; Metazoa; Mollusca; Gastropoda; Stylommatophora; Clausiliidae
Description: partial 5.8S ribosomal RNA
Rfam family: 5.8S ribosomal RNA
About the family: 5.8S ribosomal RNA (5.8S rRNA) is a component of the large subunit of the eukaryotic ribosome.
Source: RNAcentral
UAACUUUGAGCGGUGGAUCACUCGGCUUCGUGCCGUCGAUGAAGAGCGCAAGCCAGCUGGCGUGAAUUAAUGUGAAAUUGCAGAAACACAU